This 497-nucleotide ribosomal RNA is filed under the name uncultured bacterium. Its description in RNAcentral is "partial 16S ribosomal RNA". It matches the Rfam family "Bacterial small subunit ribosomal RNA", at positions 28 to 507 of the family's 1533-position model. The record is from RNAcentral.
GAUGAACGCUGGCGGCGUGCCUAAUACAUGCAAGUCGAGCGAACAGACGAGGAGCUUGCUCCUCUGACGUUAGCGGCGGACGGGUGAGUAAAACGUGGAUAACCUACCUAUAAGACUGGGAUAACUUCGGGAAACCGGAGCUAAUACCGGAUAAUAUAUUGAACCGCAUGGUUCAAUAGUGAAAGACGGUUUUGCUGUCACUUAUAGAUGGAUCCGCGCCGCAUUAGCUAGUUGGUAAGGUAACGGCUUACCAAGGCAACGAUGCGUAGCCGACCUGAGAGGGUGAUCGGCCACACUGGAGCUGAGACGCCGUCCCGACUCCUACGGGAGGCAGCAGUAGGGAAUCUUCCGCAAUGGGCGAAAGCCUGACGGAGCAACGCCGCGUGAGUGAUGAAGGUCUUCGGAUCGUAAAACUCUGUUAUUAGGUAAAAACAAAUGUGUAAGUAACUAUGCACGUCUUGACGGUACCUAAUCAGAAAGCCCCGGCUAACUACGUG